GAGCUGGUAGCUCAGUUGGUUAGAGCACCACCAUAUAAAGGCAGAGGUCCUGGGUUCAAUCCCUGGCUGGUCCA
This 74-nucleotide transfer RNA is filed under the name Serpula lacrymans var. lacrymans S7.3. It matches the Rfam family "tRNA". From Rfam's summary of the family: Transfer RNA (tRNA) molecules are approximately 80 nucleotides in length. Their secondary structure includes four short double-helical elements and three loops (D, anti-codon, and T loops). Lineage: Eukaryota; Fungi; Basidiomycota; Agaricomycetes; Boletales; Serpulaceae. The record is from Rfam by way of RNAcentral.